This 47-nucleotide non-coding RNA is filed under the name unclassified sequences. Its description in RNAcentral is "S15-Flavobacteria ribosomal protein leader". It matches the Rfam family "S15-Flavobacteria ribosomal protein leader". The record is from RNAcentral.
UACUUUUGCAGCUCGUUACAUAAUAAUCAUUAAAUAAUAUUGGCAUG